Molecule: long non-coding RNA, 927 nt
Filed under: Pongo abelii (Sumatran orangutan)
Lineage: Eukaryota; Metazoa; Chordata; Mammalia; Primates; Hominidae
Description: lincRNA
Source: RNAcentral
AACAUCUCAGGAUGGGGCAAUAUUUGGUGAGAACCAUAUUGGAUUCUACCAAAUUACAAAUAUGUUCCAGGAUGGCCUGAUCACUCACUCACUACUCCCUGCAACUCCAUGGAGAAGAUAUAAGCUGUCAAAAAUGUAUUUGUGAGUCUGAUGAGCUCUUUCACCCAGGUGACAGGGGUUUCUGCCAUACUAAUAUUCUUCUUCUUCUUCACCUUUUGUGUUUCAGUGCUGGGCCUGGAGAAGGCAGGGACCUUGGCUCUUCCAUGGUGGCUGUUCAUCAGCACUCACACAUCCACUACACCGGUUUAGUCGCAUGCUGGAAGUAGAGACAGGGUUUCACCGUGUUAGCCAGGAUGGUCUCGAUCUCCUGACCUCGUGAUCUGCCCGCCUCAGUCUCCCAAAGUGCUGGGAUUACAGAUGUGACCAAGCAAGAGUUUGUCAAUUCAGAGGUAGAGCCCAGAUGGUGGGAAUCAAGGGAGGGAAGUGAGGGGCACACGGGCCCCUGGGGGCUGAGGCAGGAGACAGCUCUCUGCCUUUCUCAGAGGACCUUUGGAGAUGUGAAUGAAAACAGCUGUCUGAACAAGUUGUACCCUAACUAGCGCGGCUGCGAGUCUGAAACUUGAAACGGGGAAGUUGGUCAGCAUGGGUGAAGCUAUGCAGCCCAGGUGAAGGGAUCCUCAAGCAGCAGCCUCUGCCUUUUUGUCCUCUCCUUUUCAUGGAGAUGACAAGAAUCACCCCGGGACUUAUCUUCUGAGGUGCUCAGCUGUGCUCCCAGAGCUGCUUUGGUCACUGCUAUGGCGGGUGGAAGCAGGAUGGGUGAAGUCAUUCUGGAGAACAAUGUAAAUUAUAGCCAAAUUAUAUAUUUGCACAUGCUAUGACCCAGGAUCCCAAUAUAUGCCAGAGAAACUCUUGCACAGAUUCAUGUGG